GAUGAACGCUGGCGGCGUGCCUAAUACAUGCAAGUCGAGCGAACGGACGAGAAGCUUGCUUCUCUGAUGUUAGCGGCGGACGGGUGAGUAACACGUGGAUAACCUACCUAUAAGACUGGGAUAACUUCGGGAAACCGGAGCUAAUACCGGAUAAUAUUUUGAACCGCAUGGUUCAAGAGUGAAAGACGGUCUUGCUGUCACUUAUGGAUGGAUCCGCGCUGCAUUAGCUAGUUGGUAAGGUAACGGCUUACCAAGGCAACGAUGCAUAGCCGACCUGAGAGGGUGAUCGGCCACACUGGAACUGAGACACGGUCCAGACUCCUACGGGAGGCAGCAGUAGGGAAUCUUCCGCAAUGGGCGAAAGCCUGACGGAGCAACGCCGCGUGAGUGAUGAAGGUCUUCGGAUCGUAAAACUCUGUUAUUAGCGAAGAACAUAUGUGUAAGUAACUGUGCACAUCUUGACGGUACCUAAUCAGAAAGCCACGGCUAACUACGUG
Molecule: ribosomal RNA, 497 nt
Filed under: uncultured bacterium
Lineage: Bacteria
Description: partial 16S ribosomal RNA
Rfam family: Bacterial small subunit ribosomal RNA
Source: RNAcentral